Molecule: long non-coding RNA, 124 nt
Organism: Clupea harengus (Atlantic herring)
Lineage: Eukaryota; Metazoa; Chordata; Actinopteri; Clupeiformes; Clupeidae
Exons: 4
Source: RefSeq, a predicted model, not a curated record
CAGGGCAAACUGGCCUUCUACAGGAUCCUUCAGGCACAGCAGCGCCUCCUAGUGGAGGAUCUUACAGAAGGUCAGAACAGCAGUCAAACUGUGGCUCCUUCAGUGUCUCAUAACCAAGUCCCGA